AACGUAGGACACAAGCGUUAUCCGGAGUUACUGGGCGUAAAGGGCGUGUAGGCGGACGUGUAAGUCUAUUCUGAAAGCUCCUGGCUAAACUGGGAGAGGCGAAUGGAGACUGCAUAUCUAGAGUGAGGAAGAGGAAAGUGGAAUUCCAGGUGUAGCGGUGAAAUGCGUAGAUAUCUGGAGGAAUACCGGUGGCGAAGGCGGCAUCCUGGACCAUUACUGACGCUGAGGCGCGAAAGCUAGGGGAGCAAACGGG
Molecule: ribosomal RNA, 253 nt
Filed under: uncultured bacterium
Lineage: Bacteria
Description: partial 16S ribosomal RNA
Rfam family: Bacterial small subunit ribosomal RNA
Source: RNAcentral